AGAGUUUGAUCAUGGCUCAGAAUCAACGCUGGCGGCGUGCCUCAGACAUGCAAGUCGAACGAUUAAGACUCCCUUCGGGGAGUGCAUAAAGUGGCGCACGGGUGAGUAACACGUAAGUAAUCUGCCUUUGAGUGGGGAAUAACCCGGGGAAACCCGAGCUAAUACCGCAUAACGCAGCGGCACCGCAAAGUGACAGUUGUUAAAGGAGCAAUCCGCUUGAAGAGGAGCUUGCGGCAGAUUAGCUAGUUGGUAAGGUAAUGGCCUACCAAGGCUACGAUCUGUAUCCGGUCUAAGAGGACGGUCGGACACACUGACACUGAAUAACGGGUCAGACUCCUACGGGAGGCAGCAGUGGGGAAUUUUGGGCAAUGGGCGAAAGCCUGACCCAGCAACGCCGCGUGAAGGAUGAAAUCCUUCGGGAUGUAAACUUCGCAAGAACGGGAAGAAUAAGUAAGGGUUAUUAUCUCUUACGAUGACGGUACUGUUUGUAAGCUCCGGCUAACUCCGUGCUAGCCGCCGCGGUAAUAC
RNAcentral lists this ribosomal RNA (528 nucleotides) under uncultured bacterium. RNAcentral describes it as "bacterial SSU rRNA". It matches the Rfam family "Bacterial small subunit ribosomal RNA", at positions 8 to 526 of the family's 1533-position model. The record is from RNAcentral.